AACGAGGCCGACCUGCGGCUGAGUUACCUGCGGAAGGAUCAUUAUCGAGUUAGGGUCGUUCUGGCCCGAACUUCCAACCCUUGUUUAUCACACCAUGUUGCUUUGGUAGGCCCGCCCCUCCUUGGGGGGCCGCCGGAGGUUAUCUUACCUCUGGCCCGUGCCUGCCAGUAGCCUUAUUAAAUUCUUUUUUAACUGUGUCGUCUGAGUGGCCUUUUAAAUCGUUAAAAACUUUCAGCAAUG
RNAcentral lists this unclassified non-coding RNA (240 nucleotides) under soil metagenome. Its description in RNAcentral is "partial contains 5.8S ribosomal RNA, internal transcribed spacer 2, and large subunit ribosomal RNA". The record is from RNAcentral.